This 119-nucleotide ribosomal RNA is filed under the name Thermoprotei archaeon. Lineage: Archaea; Thermoproteati; Thermoproteota; Thermoprotei. The record is from RNAcentral. RNAcentral also lists the same sequence under 1 other name.
CCUACCGGUCAUAGCGCGCGAGGAAAUACCCGGACCCAUUCCGAACCCGGAAGUCAAGCUCGUGCGCGUGGGCGGUUCGGUGGGGCACAAAGUCCCGCAGGGCCCCCUUGCUGGUAGGC